CCCUUAGAUGUUCUGGGCCGCACGCGCGCUACACUGACGAAGUCAGCGAGCAUGUCCUACGCCGACAGGUGCGGGGAAUCUUGUCAAACUUCGUCGUGAUGGGGAUUGAUUAUUGAAAUUCUUGAUCAUCAACGAGGAAUUCCUAGUAAGCGCAAGUCAGCAGCUUGCGUUGAUUACGUCCCUGCCCUUUGUACGCACCGCCCGUCGCUACUACCGAUUGAAUGGUUUAGUGAGAUCUUCGGAUUGGCGCCACUGCGGCUCAGCAAUGGGCUCGGUGGAUGCCGAAAAGUUGAUCAAACUUGAUCAUUUAGAGGAAGUAAAAGUCGUAACA
Molecule: ribosomal RNA, 331 nt
Filed under: uncultured eukaryote
Lineage: Eukaryota
Description: partial 18S ribosomal RNA
Rfam family: Eukaryotic small subunit ribosomal RNA
Source: RNAcentral